This 347-nucleotide unclassified non-coding RNA is filed under the name soil metagenome. Its description in RNAcentral is "partial contains 5.8S ribosomal RNA, internal transcribed spacer 2, and large subunit ribosomal RNA". The stretch from base 1 to 120 matches the Rfam family "5.8S ribosomal RNA", at positions 35 to 154 of the family's 154-position model. The record is from RNAcentral.
GAUGAAGAACGUAGCGAAAUGAGAUAAGUAAUGUGAAUUGCAGAAUUCAGUGAAUCAUCGAGUCUUUGAACGCACAUUGCGCCCCCUGGUAUUCCGGGGGGCAUGCCUGUCCGAGCGUCAUUGCUGCCCUCAAGCACGGCUUGUGUGUUGGGCCCCCGUCCCCGGUUUCCCCCGGGGACGGGCCCGAAAGGCAGCGGCGGCACCGCGUCCGGUCCUCGAGCGUAUGGGGCUUUGUCACCCGCUCUGUAGGCCCGGCCGGCGCCAGCCGACACCCAACUUUAUUUCUAAGGUUGACCUCGGAUCAGAUAGGGAUACCCGCUGAACUUAAGCAUAUCAAAAGCGGAGGA